RNAcentral lists this ribosomal RNA (415 nucleotides) under Ixodes angustus. RNAcentral describes it as "partial 16S ribosomal RNA". The record is from RNAcentral. Lineage: Eukaryota; Metazoa; Arthropoda; Arachnida; Ixodida; Ixodidae.
UAUUUUGACUAUACGAAGGUAUUGAAAUAAGGCUUUAAAUGAGUGCUAAGAGAAUGGUUAAACGAUUGGAAGCUUUCUUUAAUUAAUAAAUUGAAUUUAAUUUUUUUGUGAAGAAGCAAAAAUUUGAAUUAGGGACAAGAAGACCCUAUGAAUUUUAUAUUAAAUUCACAUAAGAUAUGUUUUUUAAUAAUUUAAUUUGGUUGGGGCGACAGAAAAAGAAUAUAUAUCUUUUGGUGUAAGGUAGUUAAUUUGUUCCGUUAUUAACGAUUAAAUGAGAAAAAUACUCUAGGGAUAACAGCGUAAUAAUUUUGGAUAGUUCAUAUAGAUAAAAUAGUUUGCGACCUCGAUGUUGGAUUAGGAUUCUUUUUUAGUGAAGAAGUUAAAUAAAAGAAGUUUGUUCAACUUUUAAAUUCCU